This 847-nucleotide ribosomal RNA is filed under the name Streptomyces cinereoruber. RNAcentral's name for it is "bacterial SSU rRNA". It matches the Rfam family "Bacterial small subunit ribosomal RNA", at positions 32 to 896 of the family's 1533-position model. The record is from RNAcentral. Lineage: Bacteria; Bacillati; Actinomycetota; Actinomycetes; Kitasatosporales; Streptomycetaceae.
GGGGCGUGCGGCGUGCUACACAUGCAAGUCGAACGAUGAAGCCCUUCGGGGUGGAUUAGUGGCGAACGGGUGAGUAACACGUGGGCAAUCUGCCCUUCACUCUGGGACAAGCCCUGGAAACGGGGUCUAAUACCGGAUACGACCUGCCGAGGCAUCUUGGCGGGUGGAAAGCUCCGGCGGUGAAGGAUGAGCCCGCGGCCUAUCAGCUUGUUGGUGGGGUAAUGGCCUACCAAGGCGACGACGGGUAGCCGGCCUGAGAGGGCGACCGGCCACACUGGGACUGAGACACGGCCCAGACUCCUACGGGAGGCAGCAGUGGGGAAUAUUGCACAAUGGGCGCAAGCCUGAUGCAGCGACGCCGCGUGAGGGAUGACGGCCUUCGGGUUGUAAACCUCUUUCAGCAGGGAAGAAGCGCAAGUGACGGUACCUGCAGAAGAAGCGCCGGCUAACUACGUGCCAGCAGCCGCGGUAAUACGUAGGGCGCAAGCGUUGUCCGGAAUUAUUGGGCGUAAAGAGCUCGUAGGCGGCUUGUCACGUCGGGUGUGAAAGCCCGGGGCUUAACCCCGGGUCUGCAUCCGAUACGGGCAGGCUAGAGUGUGGUAGGGGAGAUCGGAAUUCCUGGUGUAGCGGUGAAAUGCGCAGAUAUCAGGAGGAACACCGGUGGCGAAGGCGGAUCUCUGGGCCAUUACUGACGCUGAGGAGCGAAAGCGUGGGGAGCGAACAGGAUUAGAUACCCUGGUAGUCCACGCCGUAAACGUUGGGAACUAGGUGUUGGCGACAUUCCACGUCGUCGGUGCCGCAGCUAACGCAUUAAGUUCCCCGCCUGGGGAGUACGGCCGCAAGGCUA